GUUGUCCUUUUCCAUCUUAGAUAUGACACACCAGUGGACAGUGGGUGAUGUAUGCAGCUGGUUGCAGAAGAAUGGACUUAAUGCUUGAUUCUAAAAUCUACCAUAAAAAAAGCACAAAAGUUUCAUUUAUACAGCGAUGUUGAUUAUUAAUACUGGCUGUGUUUAAUCAUGUGACCUAAUUGUGUCAAAGGUGAUUCAGUCAUAAGUGUCCCAUUUUUCAGUGGAUCAACACCCUUGCCAGUGCCCGAAUUCAUGUACAUGAUAUACUGAUUGAGGUGCACACUUGGACUAGGUUGAAGCUAAACUCUGCAGGACUGUGGCCCUCCAGGAGCAGGACUGGUGACCGCUGGUUUAAAGUUUUCAUAAAAUGAAGUUGAUGGCCCAAUGCUUAUGAAAUUCACAGAACGAAUGGGUGAGCGGAUCUUCCCUAAAAUUAAGGACCAGGUGCAGUUCAUGACUGAACUAGAUGCACUAAAAGAAAGAGAGAACGCUUCACUGAUGAGGGAGCAAAUGAUACUUUAAAAGCGAGUGUGGGAAGUGGUCCAGCCAGUGUCCAACUUCACUUUCCACCAGUGCAUGACUGCACUGAAGAAUCAAGACCAUCCGCUGAAGUCUCAUCAAAGGAAUAAGAUGAAAAAUCCAUUGGUGCAGGCUCUCUAUGUUUGUCUUAGUUUGCAAACUAUGUAUGUUUUCUUUUGUAGAGAUAAAUCAAAUUUUUCUUUCUCAAAUCUUCCCUAAAACAAAUUAACACUUCACAUCCUCCAAAUUUCAGAGGUGAUGGAUUGUGUGCUAAUAUGAAUAUAGAAUGGAAUAGGUUAAAAUAUUUGAGGAUCUGAUAUUGCUUAUAAAUGAAAUGUCGUUAAAAUUAGUUCCACUAAUAUCCAUGGCAGGUAUCUAAGUCACAGACAUGUGGACCUUCUGAAGAUGCUCCUCAUCCAGUACCCAUUCCUGCAUGAAAAGUAUGGAACUGGAUAUGCCAAAUGGUCAAUGCAGCUGUCCUGCUCCUGCCCAGAUUUUUUUUAAAGAGCACCAAGAUGAACUUUUCACUAUUGAUAAGAUAAGUUUAUUAACUUAUCCUCAUCAUUGUUAUCUCAAAUAAUACUAAAUCAUCAUCUACUAGUCCAUCACCAUACCCUACUUUGAUUUGAGAUGUUGUUUAUGAUGCUAGGUCUGACAGGUCUUUUUUUCAUUGUCAGGAUCUAGUGACUCCAACACCCAUGCUGGUGUUAGGUAGCUGUGAUGGGAGUCCACUUGAUGUCACAAAUGUGACAAUCAAAAUGGAUGGAAAUGUCAUGGACUAUGACGAUGGAGUUGACAUUUCACUUGCAAAGGGUCUGGCAUUUUCAUUGUUUCACGUGUUCCAAAUUGAGUAUCCCAAAAAUGUACGGAAAACUAUGUUGUUCCUUGAGGCAUUUGUCUUCAAAAUGAAAAUUAGAGUAUCAGUUGCUGUCCAGAGAGUUUACAAUUCUUUGUAAGCUGAAUGUAUAAGAAAAACUGGUUUUGGUUUGAGGUAAUUGUCUUCAAAAUUAAAAUGUUUUUUAUUUAUUUAUUUUUUUAAAUUGCUGUCCAGAGAGUUUACAGUUCUUUUGUAAGCUAAAUGUUUAAGGAAAACUUGUCUUUAAAUUCCAUGUCUUUUUAAAAUUCAGUCUUAAUGUUAAUUUAAAGGAUGAAAUGCUAACUUAUGUUACCCAGGGACUAUAAAGCCAAAGUCAUUUGUAUAAACUUAACGUUAAAUUGUAAGUAAAUACUUAACUGCCGUCGUAUGUGUGGAUGAAUGAGUCGCAGUGUAAAGCGCUUUGGAACCGCUAAGGUUAAAGGCGCUAUAUAAGUGCAGACCAUUUUCUUGCACAAAAAAAAAAAAAAAAGGCCAAUUAAAUCUAUAAAAGCUAUGGAUGGUUAAUUUUAAUAAAACAUUUGUUAUUUUCAAAGGCUUUGGAUUUUUUUAUUGUA
Long non-coding RNA from Myxocyprinus asiaticus (Chinese sucker), 1950 nucleotides. RefSeq lists it as uncharacterized. The record is from RefSeq and is a predicted model, not a curated record. The transcript is spliced from 4 exons. NCBI's taxonomy places the organism in Eukaryota, Metazoa, Chordata, Actinopteri, Cypriniformes, Catostomidae.